UGUUAAAAGUUUCAUCCAUUUGUGCUCUUAAAAACUGAUGUGAUUGACGGAAUAACCAGAUAGUGACAUAUGUUGUGCAAUGUAUACCUCAUGUUGAUGUACAGGGACCAGUUUUAAACAGUAGAAAUGGAUGAACUUUUUAACA
Molecule: non-coding RNA, 145 nt
Organism: Gossypium hirsutum (cotton)
Lineage: Eukaryota; Viridiplantae; Streptophyta; Magnoliopsida; Malvales; Malvaceae
Source: Rfam